GGGAGCCAGCGGUGAACGUUUU
Molecule: unclassified non-coding RNA, 22 nt
Filed under: Chlamydomonas reinhardtii
Lineage: Eukaryota; Viridiplantae; Chlorophyta; Chlorophyceae; Chlamydomonadales; Chlamydomonadaceae
Description: small RNA Cre_1886
Source: RNAcentral